CAAGGGGACCUGCGGAG
This 17-nucleotide ribosomal RNA is filed under the name Chroogomphus rutilus. RNAcentral's name for it is "partial 18S ribosomal RNA". Lineage: Eukaryota; Fungi; Basidiomycota; Agaricomycetes; Boletales; Gomphidiaceae. The record is from RNAcentral.